UUGAGGCGGGCUGGAACCUCUCGGGGUUACAGCCUUGCUGAAUUAUUCACCCUUGUCUUUUGCGUACUUCUUGUUUCCUUGGUGGGUUCGCCCACCACUAGGACAAACAUAAACCUUUUGUAAUUGCAAUCAGCGUCAGUAACAAAUUAAUAAUUACAACUUUCAACAACGGAUCUCUUGGUUCUGGCAUCGAUGAAGAACGCAGCGAAAUGCGAUAAGUAGUGUGAAUUGCAGAAUUCAGUGAAUCAUCGAAUCUUUGAACGCACAUUGCGCCCUUUGGUAUUCCAAAGGGCAUGCCUGUUCGAGCGUCAUUUGUACCCUCAAGCUUUGCUUGGUGUUGGGCGUCUUGUCUCUAGCUUUGCUGGAGACUCGCCUUAAAGUAAUUGGCAGCCGGCCUACUGGUUUCGGAGCGCAGCACAAGUCGCACUCUCUAUCAGCAAAGGUCUAGCAUCCAUUAAGCCUUUUUUUUCAACUUUUGACCUCGGAUCAGGUAGGGAUACCCGCUGAACUUAAGCAUAUCAAUACG
Molecule: ribosomal RNA, 526 nt
Filed under: Alternaria sp. Gr169
Lineage: Eukaryota; Fungi; Ascomycota; Dothideomycetes; Pleosporales; Pleosporaceae
Description: eukaryotic LSU rRNA
Rfam family: 5.8S ribosomal RNA (bases 158-311)
Source: RNAcentral